RNAcentral lists this ribosomal RNA (497 nucleotides) under uncultured bacterium. RNAcentral's name for it is "partial 16S ribosomal RNA". It matches the Rfam family "Bacterial small subunit ribosomal RNA", at positions 28 to 507 of the family's 1533-position model. The record is from RNAcentral.
GAUGAACGCUGGCGGCGUGCCUAAUACAUGCAAGUCGAGCGAACAGACGAGGAUCUUGCUCCUCUUACGUUAGCGGCGGACGGGUGAGUAACACGUGGAUAACCUACCUAUAAGACUUGGAUAACUUCGGGAAACCGUAGCUAAUACCGGAUAAUUUAUUGAACCGCAUGGUUCAAUAGUUAAAGACGGUUUUGCUGUCUCUUAUAGAUGUAUCCGCGACGCAUUAGCUAGUUGGUAAGGUAACGGCUUACCAAGGCAACGAUGCGUAGCAGACCUGAUAGGGUGAUCGGACACACUGGAACUGAGACACGGACCAGAAGACUACGGGAGGCAGCAGUAGGGAAUGGUGCGAAAUGGGAGAAAGCCUGACGGAGCAACGCCGAGUGAGAGAUGAAGGUAUUCGGAUCGUAAAACUCUGUUAUUAGGGAAGAAAAAAUGUGUAAGUAACUAUGCACGUCUUGACGGUACCUAAUCAGAAAGCCACGGCUAACUACGUG